This 448-nucleotide ribosomal RNA is filed under the name uncultured bacterium. RNAcentral's name for it is "bacterial SSU rRNA". It matches the Rfam family "Bacterial small subunit ribosomal RNA", at positions 64 to 507 of the family's 1533-position model. The record is from RNAcentral.
GAGCGGUAGAGAGAAGCUUGCUUCUCUUGAGAGCGGCGGACGGGUGAGUAAUGCCUAGGAAUCUGCCUGGUAGUGGGGGAUAACGUUCGGAAACGGACGCUAAUACCGCAUACGUCCUACGGCAGAAAGCAGGGGACCUUCGGGCCUUGCGCUAUCAGAUGAGCCUAGGUCGGAUUAGCUAGUUGGUGGGGUAAUGGCUCACCAAGGCGACGAUCCGUAACUGGUCUGAGAGGAUGAUCAGUCACACUGGAACUGAGACACGGUCCAGACUCCUACGGGAGGCAGCAGUGGGGAAUAUUGGACAAUGGGCGAAAGCCUGAUCCAGCCAUGCCGCGUGUGUGAAGAAGGUCUUCGGAUUGUAAAGCACUUUAAGUUGGGAGGAAGGGUUGUAGAUUAAUACUCUGCAAUUUUGACGUUACCGACAGAAUAAGCACCGGCUAACUCUGUG